UACGUAGGUGCCCAGCGUUGUCCGGAUUUACUGGGCGUAAAGAGCGCGCAGGCGGUCGUUCAAGUCGAGUGUGAAAGCCCCCGGCUCAACUGGGGAGGGUCACUUGAUACUGGUCGACUCGAAGGCAGGAGAGGGAAGCGGAAUUCCCGGUGUAGUGGUGAAAUGCGUAGAUAUCGGGAGGAACACCAGUGGCGAAGGCGGCUCCCUGGCGUGGUCUUGACGCUGAGGCGCGAAAGCCAGGGGAGCGAACGGG
This 253-nucleotide ribosomal RNA is filed under the name uncultured bacterium. Its description in RNAcentral is "partial 16S ribosomal RNA". It matches the Rfam family "Bacterial small subunit ribosomal RNA", at positions 524 to 776 of the family's 1533-position model. The record is from RNAcentral.